UACUCCUACGGGAGGCAGCAGUAAGGAAUAUUGGUCAAUGGGCGCAAGCCUGAACCAGCCAUGCCGCGUGCAGGAAGACGGCCCUAUGGGUUGUAAACUGCUUUUGUCAGGGAAUAAACCCCCGCUCGUGAGCGGGGCUGA
RNAcentral lists this ribosomal RNA (141 nucleotides) under uncultured bacterium. RNAcentral describes it as "partial 16S ribosomal RNA". It matches the Rfam family "Bacterial small subunit ribosomal RNA", at positions 334 to 472 of the family's 1533-position model. The record is from RNAcentral.